RNAcentral lists this ribosomal RNA (458 nucleotides) under Streptococcus vestibularis. RNAcentral's name for it is "bacterial SSU rRNA". It matches the Rfam family "Bacterial small subunit ribosomal RNA", at positions 28 to 470 of the family's 1533-position model. The record is from RNAcentral. Lineage: Bacteria; Bacillati; Bacillota; Bacilli; Lactobacillales; Streptococcaceae.
GACGAACGCUGGCGGCGUGCCUAAUACAUGCAAGUAGAACGCUGAAGAGAGGAGCUUGCUCUUCUUGAAUGAGUUGCGAACGGGUGAGUAACGCGUAGGUAACCUGCCUUGUAGCGGGGGAUAACUAUUGGAAACGAUAGCUAAUACCGCAUAACAAUGGGUGACACAUGUCAUUUAUUUGAAAGGGGCAAUUGCUCCACUACAAGAUGGACCUGCGUUGUAUUAGCUAGUAGGUGAGGUAACGGCUCACCUAGGCGACGAUACAUAGCCGACCUGAGAGGGUGAUCGGCCACACUGGGACUGAGACACGGCCCAGACUCCUACGGGAGGCAGCAGUAGGGAAUCUUCGGCAAUGGGGGCAACCCUGACCGAGCAACGCCGCGUGAGUGAAGAAGGUUUUCGGAUCGUAAAGCUCUGUUGUAAGUCAAGAACGAGUGUGAGAGUGGAAAGUUCACACU